RNAcentral lists this ribosomal RNA (465 nucleotides) under Vreelandella stevensii. RNAcentral's name for it is "partial 16S ribosomal RNA". It matches the Rfam family "Bacterial small subunit ribosomal RNA", at positions 338 to 795 of the family's 1533-position model. The record is from RNAcentral. Lineage: Bacteria; Pseudomonadati; Pseudomonadota; Gammaproteobacteria; Oceanospirillales; Halomonadaceae.
CCUACGGGUGGCAGCAGUGGGGAAUAUUGGACAAUGGGGGGAACCCUGAUCCAGCCAUGCCGCGUGUGUGAAGAAGGCCCUCGGGUUGUAAAGCACUUUCAGUGAGGAAGAACGCCUGGUGGUUAAUACCCAUCAGGAAAGACAUCACUCACAGAAGAAGCACCGGCUAACUCCGUGCCAGCAGCCGCGGUAAUACGGGGGGUGCGAGCGUUAAUCGGAAUUACUGGGCGUAAAGCGCGCGUAGGUGGCUUGAUAAGCCGGUUGUGAAAGCCCCGGGCUCAACCUGGGAACGGCAUCCGGAACUGUCAAGCUAGAGUGCAGGAGAGGAAGGUAGAAUUCCCGGUGUAGCGGUGAAAUGCGUAGAGAUCGGGAGGAAUACCAGUGGCGAAGGCGGCCUUCUGGACUGACACUGACACUGAGGUGCGAAAGCGUGGGUAGCAAACAGGAUUAGAUACCCUAGUAGUC